GACGAACGCUGGCGGCGUGCUUAACACAUGCAAGUCGAACGGAAAGACCCUGCUUUUGUGGGGUGCUCGAUUGGCGAAGGGGGGAGUAACACGUGAGUAACCUGCCCUUGACUUUGUGAGAACUUUACGAAACUGGGGCUAAUAUCGGGUAGGAGCUCCUGCUCCAUGGUGGUGGUUGGUAAGUUUCGGCGGUUGGGGAUGUACUCGAGGCUUAUCCGCUUGUUUGUGAGGUAGGUGCUUACCAAGGCUUUGACGGGUAGCCGGCCUGAGAGGGUGACCGGGCACCUGGGGACUGCGAUACGGCCCAGAAUCCUACGGGCGGCAGCAGUGGGGAAUAUUGCACAAUGGGCCGAAGCCUGAUGCAGAAACGUCGCGUGCGGGAUGACGGCUUUCGGGUUGUAAACCGCUUUCGCAUGUGACGAAGCGUGAGUGACGGUAAUGGGUAAAGAAGCACCGGCUAACUACGUG
Molecule: ribosomal RNA, 468 nt
Filed under: uncultured bacterium
Lineage: Bacteria
Description: partial 16S ribosomal RNA
Rfam family: Bacterial small subunit ribosomal RNA
Source: RNAcentral